Molecule: ribosomal RNA, 430 nt
Filed under: Pseudomonadota bacterium
Lineage: Bacteria; Pseudomonadati; Pseudomonadota
Description: Proteobacteria bacterium partial 16S ribosomal RNA
Rfam family: Bacterial small subunit ribosomal RNA
Source: RNAcentral
UGGGGAAUAUUGGACAAUGGGGGGAACCCUGAUCCAGCCAUGCCGCGUGUGUGAAGAAGGCCUUAUGGUUGUAAAGCACUUUAAGCGAGGAGGAGGGUACUGGUAUUAAUACUACCAGGUACUGGACGUUACUCGCAGAAUAAGCACCGGCUAACUCUGUGCCAGCAGCCGCGGUAAUACAGAGGGUGCGAGCGUUAAUCGGAUUUACUGGGCGUAAAGCGUGCGUAGGCGGCUAAUUGAGUCGGAUGUGAAAUCCCCGAGCUUAACUUGGGAAUUGCAUUCGAUACUGGUCAGCUAGAGUAUGGGAGAGGAUGGUAGAAUUCCAGGUGUAGCGGUGAAAUGCGUAGAGAUCUGGAGAAAUACCGAUGGCGAAGGCAGCCAUCUGGCCUAAUACUGACGCUGAGGUACGAAAGCAUAGGGAGCAAACAGG